CAAAUUGAGAGUUUGAUCCUGGCUCAGGACGAACGCUGGCGGCGUGCCUAAUACAUGCAAGUCGAGCGAGCUGAAUUCAAAGAUCCCUUCGGGGUGAUUUGUUGGACGCUAGCGGCGGAUGGGUGAGUAACACGUGGGCAAUCUGCCCUAAAGACUGGGAUACCACUUGGAAACAGGUGCUAAUACCGGAUAACAACAUGAAUCGCAUGAUUCAAGUUUGAAAGGCGGCGUAAGCU
This 236-nucleotide ribosomal RNA is filed under the name Vibrio parahaemolyticus. Its description in RNAcentral is "partial 16S ribosomal RNA". It matches the Rfam family "Bacterial small subunit ribosomal RNA", at positions 1 to 216 of the family's 1533-position model. The record is from RNAcentral. Lineage: Bacteria; Pseudomonadati; Pseudomonadota; Gammaproteobacteria; Vibrionales; Vibrionaceae.